RNAcentral lists this ribosomal RNA (253 nucleotides) under uncultured bacterium. RNAcentral describes it as "partial 16S ribosomal RNA". It matches the Rfam family "Bacterial small subunit ribosomal RNA", at positions 524 to 776 of the family's 1533-position model. The record is from RNAcentral.
UACGGGGGGGGCAAGCGUUGUUCGGAAUUACUGGGCGUAAAGGGCUCGUAGGUGGCCAACUAAGUCAGACGUGAAAUCCCCCGGCUUAACCUGGGAACUGCGUCUGAUACUGGACGGCUUGAGUAUGGGAGAGGGAUGUAGAAUUCCAGGUGUAGCGGUGAAAUGCGUAGAUAUCUGGAGGAAUACCGGUGGCGAAGGCGGCAUCCUGGACCAUUACUGACGCUGAGGCGCGAAAGCUAGGGGAGCAAACGGG